GUCAAAGACUCUCCUCUCGCUUGAAUCUGGUCAAAUCUAAACUUUGCAUUUCCAAAUCUCUCAUUCAAUUGCAUCACAUAGUCGACGCUUAGAUCCAGGCUAUGAUGUUGGGGGUUUUAAGGAGAAGAGUUACCACUGGAGGCUCAUCUUCUUCGAUUUUGAGGCAGUCCUUGCAGAGCAUUCGACCUGCGGCAUCUACCCCUAGAGUUUGCUCUCUUCCUGAGAAGGAGAUUUUACUUCAUCCAACUCCAAGAGGUUUUGGGCAUGUCUGUUACUUCAGCCACCUCAUUUCACCUGGUCGUUCGGUUAGUUCAGGGCUCAUGAGGGAUUUUAUCAGCGUUGAGCUUAUGGCCCUCAAGCAAAUGUGGAGCAGGCCAUUUUCUUCAGAUGGUGGGGAUUCAGUUGAUGUUGUUGUCCCUUUUAUGGGUGA
RNAcentral lists this unclassified non-coding RNA (430 nucleotides) under Hevea brasiliensis (rubber tree). The record is from RNAcentral. Lineage: Eukaryota; Viridiplantae; Streptophyta; Magnoliopsida; Malpighiales; Euphorbiaceae.